Molecule: ribosomal RNA, 477 nt
Filed under: uncultured bacterium
Lineage: Bacteria
Description: bacterial SSU rRNA
Rfam family: Bacterial small subunit ribosomal RNA
Source: RNAcentral
CUGGCUCAGGACGAACGCUGGCGGCGUGCUCAUACAUGCAAGUCGAACGAGAAGCAGUCUUCGGACUGUGGAAAGUGGCGGACGGGUGAGUAAAAUGUAGAGAAUCUGCCCUAGAGUGGGGGAUAGCAGUUGGAAACGACUAUUAAUACCCCAUAUGAGCGUACUUGAGAUAGUAUUCUUGAAAACUCCGGUGCUCUAGGAUGAGUCUGCAUCUGAUUAGCUAGUAGGCGGUGUAAUGGACCACCCAGGCGACGAUCAGUAGCUGGUUUGAGAGGAUGAUCAGCCACAAUGGGACUGAGACACGGCCCAUACUCCUACGGGAGGCAGCAGUAGGGAAUUUUGCGCAAUGGGGGAAACCCUGACGCAGCAACGCCGCGUGAAUGAAGAAGCCCUUCGGGGUGUAAAGUUCUGUCAGUGGGGACGAAACUUGACGGUACCCACAGAGGAAGCAUCGGCUAACUCCGUGCCAGCCGCCGC